UCUUGAUUGCGAAAAUCGGCAAUCAGAAAAUUUGCAAUAAAAAUUUGCGAUACAAAAAUUCCCGAUCAACACUACAUUUAAAGUCAAAGGUAUUGCAGACUUCUCAUUGGCCCACAAGCAAUAAGCAGUGAGGGAUCAUGGGUACUGAUUUUUUUUUUUUUUUUAGAAUAUUC
Molecule: long non-coding RNA, 173 nt
Organism: Bufo bufo (common toad)
Lineage: Eukaryota; Metazoa; Chordata; Amphibia; Anura; Bufonidae
Exons: 3
Source: RefSeq, a predicted model, not a curated record